Molecule: ribosomal RNA, 229 nt
Filed under: uncultured bacterium
Lineage: Bacteria
Description: partial 16S ribosomal RNA
Rfam family: Bacterial small subunit ribosomal RNA
Source: RNAcentral
CGGCGUAACGACGUAUGUAACCUACCUUUACCAGGGGGAUAGCCUCUCGAAAGAGAGAUUAAGACCGCAUAAAAUGAAGACACAGCAUUGUGAUUUCAUCAAAUAUUUAUAGGGUAAAGAUGGGCAUGCGGAACAUUAGCUAGUUGGUAAGGUAAUGGCUUACCAAGGCUACGAUGUUUAGGGGAUCUGAGAGGAUGACCCCCCACACUGGUACUGAGACACGGACCAG